This 332-nucleotide ribosomal RNA is filed under the name uncultured bacterium. RNAcentral's name for it is "bacterial SSU rRNA". It matches the Rfam family "Bacterial small subunit ribosomal RNA", at positions 568 to 898 of the family's 1533-position model. The record is from RNAcentral.
CGUGUAGGCGGUUUGUUAAGUCUGAUGUGAAAGCCCCGGGCUCAACCUGGGAAGUGCAUUGGAUACUGGCAGACUUGAAUACGGGAGAGGGUAGUGGAAUUCCUGGCGUAGGAGUGAAAUCCGUAGAUAUCAGGAGGAACACCGGUGGCGAAGGCGGCUACCUGGACCGAUAUUGACGCUGAGACGCGAAAGCGUGGGGAGCAAACAGGAUUAGAUACCCUGGUAGUCCACGCCGUAAACGAUGAGUACUAGGUGUUGCGGGUAUUGACCCCUGCAGUGCCGCAGCUAACGCAUUAAGUACUCCGCCUGGGAAGUACGGUCGCAGGACUAAA